GAUGAACGCUGGCGGCGUGCUUAACACAUGCAAGUCGAACGAAGCACUCUAUUUGAUUUUCUUCGGAAAUGAAGAUUUUGUGACUGAGUGGCGGACGGGUGAGUAACGCGUGGGUAACCUGCCUCAUACAGGGGGAUAACAGUUGGAAACGACUGCUAAUACCGCAUAAGCGCACAGGAUCGCAUGAUCCGGUGUGAAAAACUCCGGUGGUAUGGGAUGGACCCGCGUCUGAUUAGCCAGUUGGCAGGGUAACGGCCUACCAAAGCGACGAUCAGUAGCCGACCUGAGAGGGUGACCGGCCACAUUGGGACUGAGACACGGCCCAAACUCCUACGGGAGGCAGCAGUGGGGAAUAUUGCACAAUGGGGGAAACCCUGAUGCAGCGACGCCGCGUGAGCGAAGAAGUAUUUCGGUAUGUAAAGCUCUAUCAGCAGGGAAGAAGAAUGACGGU
This 451-nucleotide ribosomal RNA is filed under the name uncultured bacterium. RNAcentral describes it as "bacterial SSU rRNA". It matches the Rfam family "Bacterial small subunit ribosomal RNA", at positions 28 to 476 of the family's 1533-position model. The record is from RNAcentral.